GAGUUUGAUCAUGGCUCAGGACGAACGCUGGCGGCGUGCUUAACACAUGCAAGUCGAGCGAUGAAGCUUCCUUCGGGAAGUGGAUUAGCGGCGGACGGGUGAGUAACACGUGGGCAACCUGCCUCAAAGAGGGGAAUAGCCCACCGAAAGGAGGAUUAAUACCGCAUAAAGUUAGAGUUUCGCAUGAAACUUUAACCAGAGGAGUAAUCCGCUUUGAGAUGGGCCCGCGUCCCAUUAGCUAGUUGGUAGGGUAAUGGCUUACCAAGGCAACGAUGGGUAGCCGACCUGAGAGGGUGAUCGGCCACAUUGGAACUGAGACACGGUCCAGACUCCUACGGGAGGCAGCAGUGGGGAAUAUUGCGCAAUGGGGGAAACCCUGACGCAGCAACGCCGCGUGGGUGAUGAAGGUUUUCGGAUCGUAAAACCCUGUUUUCUGGGACGAUAAUGACGGUACCAGAUGAGGAAGCCACGGCUAACUACGUGCCAGCAGCCGCGGUAAUAC
RNAcentral lists this ribosomal RNA (502 nucleotides) under uncultured bacterium. Its description in RNAcentral is "bacterial SSU rRNA". It matches the Rfam family "Bacterial small subunit ribosomal RNA", at positions 9 to 526 of the family's 1533-position model. The record is from RNAcentral.